Molecule: long non-coding RNA, 185 nt
Organism: Rosa chinensis
Lineage: Eukaryota; Viridiplantae; Streptophyta; Magnoliopsida; Rosales; Rosaceae
Exons: 3
Source: RefSeq, a predicted model, not a curated record
GGGCCGAUCCUUCCCAUUUUCGUGAUCUCCUCCUCCCCCUGAUCAUCCCCAUGAUCUGAUCAGACGCACCAGAUUAAUCCAAACUUCAAAGCUUGAUCUAGGACGAUCUAGGCCGAACCAGACUUAGCUCCAGGUACUUGACGGUUUGAGUUGACGAGCGUUCGGAAUAUUGAUAUAUUCGACUU